CAAACGUGGAGCCAACUCCAGGACUGGUGUCAAGAUUUGCCAGGCAGCUUUCUGCCAGCCGUGGGCAUGUCCUCCCCCAAGCUGCUGAUCUGCUGGUCAGAUUAGGGGCACAUGCAUAUGGUGGCAGAGGCAGGGAAGAAUGAGCCACAUCAUUUCUGACAUGUGAGCACCAGAUCUGCGAGCAUAUGGCCUGGAAGCCUCUCCAGGAAUUUCACGGGACAUUUCAUGCAAGUUGAGACGGAGGCAUUCAGGAACCUGGAUCCAGAGAGAGAAAAAGAGAAAUUGCAGAAAAUAUUUCCCUUUGAAAUAUUCUCAUCAAAUGUGAUGGAGAAGAGUUAAUAUCUGUAAGGAGCUCACUGGAAUCAUUAAGAAAAAGGUGAAAACUCCAAAAGAAAACUGGAAAAUAACGUGAACUUAUGAUUCAUAAAAGAAGCACAAAUAACCAGUACACUUAAAAUGAAAUUUAUCCUUGCUGUUAAUAAACAAAUGCAAAUUAAAAUA
Molecule: long non-coding RNA, 501 nt
Filed under: Homo sapiens (human)
Lineage: Eukaryota; Metazoa; Chordata; Mammalia; Primates; Hominidae
Description: HSALNT0164947
Source: RNAcentral